AAUUUCUAGAUAACAAACGGUUCUUGGGGGCAUAUAUAAAUGUAUCAGAUCAAGAAAUAGUAAGUUCAUAAAGCAAUUCGUUCAGGAGAGUUUCCAUGUGAAGUAGAUGAUCUAUUUCUCUUCUUUUCAACUGAGUACAUCAGAUUUCUGGCAACGUUCAAGCAAUUGGGUAGUGUAUGGAGAUGAUUUUCUUAGUCUAGAUCUAUGGCAAAAUACGUUUUGAGAUAAGUUAUUCUGUUGGAAUUAUAUAAUGAUUAUUGAAACACAAUCUAUGAGUGAGCUUUUGCGUUAAAAUUCUAUGUUUAUAGACAUUUGUCGAGUUUUCUCAUUCAAGGUAAGAUUUUUCUCUUAUCGUAGAGAGAGGGACUCUGUAGGUUUUUGUUCGAAAUAAACUGAAUUAAAUGUUAUAAUACUUGAAAUCUUCAUAAUUAGGCUUCUUUUCAAUUCCAUAUAACAGAUUCUAGCCAAUUUUCAAGCUUUUUGAUUGGUGUACAAGGAUUAUUCUAUUCGCUCAUUCCAGAUAAUAGGAGAAAUGUUUUCAAUUAACUCAUUCAAGUGGAAUAAUAAAAUGAUUAUUGGGAUGAUAAAAAGAUUAUUGAAACACAAUCUAUGAGUAAGGUUUUACGUAAAAUUUCUAUAUUUAUAUAGACUUUCGCCAAGUUUUUGUCAUUUGAGGUUAGUUUUUUUUCUUAUCGUAGAUGAAGGGAUUUUGUAGAUUUUUGUUCAAAAUGAACUGAAUUAAAUAUUAUGAUGCUUGAA
Coccinella septempunctata (seven-spotted ladybird) is the source of this 759-nucleotide long non-coding RNA. RefSeq lists it as uncharacterized. The transcript is spliced from 3 exons. NCBI's taxonomy places the organism in Eukaryota, Metazoa, Arthropoda, Insecta, Coleoptera, Coccinellidae. The record is from RefSeq and is a predicted model, not a curated record.